UGUGACCCAUUCAAGGGCGCCUUGGAGACAGCAAGGACCCCGGCCGGGGCUGCCCAGAGAGGCUCUGAAGUGACUUUUUCAGCUUUAUUUGCCCAGUGCUAUUACAGCAUCUCAGCGAAGAAGAACGGACACGUUUCCAAACCCAGAGGGAAAGGCUUCAAAGACGACACAUCUAACAAUCUAAGGCUGGAAACAGACGGGUGGGAAAUGAGAAAAUGGAUUCCAAGGUUUUUAGCAAGGACCAAGCAGAGACCAUUUCAAGAUGCAGCUCUUCUCAGUUUGACGCUGUUCUAUCAUGUUCUACAUCUGUUUCACCAAUACAACAGCCAGCAUUUACUGCCUAUUCAAUAC
Sceloporus undulatus (fence lizard) is the source of this 351-nucleotide long non-coding RNA. RefSeq lists it as uncharacterized. The transcript is spliced from 3 exons. The record is from RefSeq and is a predicted model, not a curated record. Lineage: Eukaryota; Metazoa; Chordata; Lepidosauria; Squamata; Phrynosomatidae.